RNAcentral lists this ribosomal RNA (253 nucleotides) under uncultured bacterium. RNAcentral's name for it is "partial 16S ribosomal RNA". It matches the Rfam family "Bacterial small subunit ribosomal RNA", at positions 524 to 776 of the family's 1533-position model. The record is from RNAcentral.
UACGUAGGGAGCAAGCGUUGUCCGGAUUUAUUGGGCGUAAAGAGCGUGUAGGCGGCCAGACAGGUCCGUUGUGAAAACUAGAGGCUUAACCUCUAGACGUCGAUGGAAACCGUCUGGCUAGAGUCCGGAAGAGGAGAAUGGAAUUCCUGGUGUAGCGGUGAAAUGCGCAGAUAUCGGGAAGAACACCCGUGGCUAAGGCGGUUCUCUAGUACGGUACUGACGCUGAGACGCGAAAGCGUGGGGAGCGAACAGG